This 255-nucleotide ribosomal RNA is filed under the name Klebsiella quasipneumoniae. Its description in RNAcentral is "partial 23S ribosomal RNA". It matches the Rfam family "Bacterial large subunit ribosomal RNA", at positions 2102 to 2356 of the family's 2925-position model. Lineage: Bacteria; Pseudomonadati; Pseudomonadota; Gammaproteobacteria; Enterobacterales; Enterobacteriaceae. The record is from RNAcentral.
UACUAUAGCUUGACACUGAACAUUGAGCCUUGAUGUGUAGGAUAGGUGGGAGGCUUUGAAGCGUGGACGCCAGUCUGCGUGGAGCCAACCUUGAAAUACCACCCUUUAAUGUUUGAUGUUCUAACGUAGGCCCCUUAUCGGGGUUGCGGACAGUGUCUGGUGGGUAGUUUGACUGGGGCGGUCUCCUCCCAAAGCGUAACGGAGGAGCACGAAGGUUAGCUAAUCCUGGUCGGACAUCAGGAGGUUAGUGCAAUG